GCACGGCAAAAUGGACGGACGGGAUUGCAUCAAAGCUCUGCCCGUACGCACGGUUGGAAAAGAAUCGUCCCUCGAGAAAUGAUUGAUUUAAUUAUUCGUACUAUUUUAUUUUUUUUUCCUUUCUUUUUUCUACGCUUGCAGCAGGAUAGGACUAAUACGUAGUUUCAUCUGGUCUUUUGAUUAAAAUGUUGAAACAAGUUGUGGUCUGAACAAGAGGA
RNAcentral lists this long non-coding RNA (218 nucleotides) under Ananas comosus (pineapple). RNAcentral describes it as "long non-coding RNA (ACOM_LNC004652)". Lineage: Eukaryota; Viridiplantae; Streptophyta; Magnoliopsida; Poales; Bromeliaceae. The record is from RNAcentral.